UACGUAGGGUGCGAGCGUUGUCCGGAAUUAUUGGGCGUAAAGAGCUUGUAGGCGGUUUGUCGCGUCUGCUGUGAAAAUCCGGGGCUCAACCCCGGACUUGCAGUGGGUACGGGCAGACUAGAGUGUGGUAGGGGAGACUGGAAUUCCUGGUGUAGCGGUGAAAUGCGCAGAUAUCAGGAGGAACACCGAUGGCGAAGGCAGGUCUCUGGGCCAUAACUGACGCUGAGAAGCGAAAGCAUGGGGAGCGAACAGG
Molecule: ribosomal RNA, 253 nt
Filed under: uncultured bacterium
Lineage: Bacteria
Description: partial 16S ribosomal RNA
Rfam family: Bacterial small subunit ribosomal RNA
Source: RNAcentral